UGCUGAGUCAUUUUGUGGGUUUCUAGUCCUCCGGAUUGCUUUCCGUCGAUUCCUGUGGGUUUUGUAUUGCGUUGUUCUCCCCCCAAUUCCUGGAUUUUUGAUUACUCACUAUUGCGAAAGCAUUUGCCAAGGAUGUUUUCAUUAAUCAAGAACGAAGGUUAGGGGAUCUGAAACGAUCAGAUACCGUUGUGAUCUUAACCGAAACCCAUGCCGACUAGGGUGCGGACGACCUCAAUUUUUGGCGUCGUCGGUCACCUUACGAGAAAUCAAAGUCUUUGGGUUCUUUCACCUCUAUGGCCGCAAGGCUGAGCCUUAAAGUAUCCGUAUGAAGGAUUACACCAGACUCUGGAGCCCGCCGAUUAAUUUGACUACGCACAA
Molecule: ribosomal RNA, 378 nt
Filed under: Lactarius hepaticus
Lineage: Eukaryota; Fungi; Basidiomycota; Agaricomycetes; Russulales; Russulaceae
Description: bacterial SSU rRNA
Rfam family: Eukaryotic small subunit ribosomal RNA
Source: RNAcentral